AGCUCAGUUGGUGGAGCGUGCGGCUAUUAACCUCAAGAUCACUGGUUCAAACCCAGU
Molecule: transfer RNA, 57 nt
Filed under: Plasmopara halstedii
Lineage: Eukaryota; Oomycota; Peronosporomycetes; Peronosporales; Peronosporaceae
Rfam family: tRNA
About the family: Transfer RNA (tRNA) molecules are approximately 80 nucleotides in length. Their secondary structure includes four short double-helical elements and three loops (D, anti-codon, and T loops). Further hydrogen bonds mediate the characteristic L-shaped molecular structure. tRNAs have two regions of fundamental functional importance: the anti-codon, which is responsible for specific mRNA codon recognition, and the 3' end, to which the tRNAs corresponding amino acid is attached (by aminoacyl-tRNA synthetases). tRNAs cope with the degeneracy of the genetic code in two manners: having more than one tRNA (with a specific anti-codon) for a particular amino acid; and 'wobble' base-pairing, i.e. permitting non-standard base-pairing at the 3rd anti-codon position.
Source: Rfam by way of RNAcentral